Molecule: ribosomal RNA, 253 nt
Filed under: uncultured bacterium
Lineage: Bacteria
Description: partial 16S ribosomal RNA
Rfam family: Bacterial small subunit ribosomal RNA
Source: RNAcentral
GACAGAGGGUGCAAACGUUGUCCGGAAUUACUGGGCGUAAAGCGCGUGUAGGCGGCAAUACAAGUCGGAUGUGAAAUCCCGCGGCUCAACCGUGGAAGUGCACCCGAAACUGUAUCGCUAGAGUCCCGGAGAGGAUGGUGGAAUACUUGGUGUAGAGGUGAAAUUCGUAGAUAUCAGGAGGAACACCGAUGGCGAAGGCAGCCUCCUGGGCCAGCACUGACGCUCAUGCACGAAAGCGUGGGGAGCAAACAGG